This 72-nucleotide transfer RNA is filed under the name Chlamydia gallinacea 08-1274/3. Its description in RNAcentral is "tRNA-Gln". It matches the Rfam family "tRNA". From Rfam's summary of the family: Transfer RNA (tRNA) molecules are approximately 80 nucleotides in length. Their secondary structure includes four short double-helical elements and three loops (D, anti-codon, and T loops). The record is from RNAcentral. RNAcentral also lists the same sequence under 2 other names. Lineage: Bacteria; Pseudomonadati; Chlamydiota; Chlamydiia; Chlamydiales; Chlamydiaceae.
UGGGGUGUGGCCAAGCGGUAAGGCAGCGGUUUUUGGUACCGUGUAUCGGAGGUUCGAAUCCUUUCACCCCAA